RNAcentral lists this ribosomal RNA (497 nucleotides) under uncultured bacterium. RNAcentral describes it as "partial 16S ribosomal RNA". It matches the Rfam family "Bacterial small subunit ribosomal RNA", at positions 28 to 507 of the family's 1533-position model. The record is from RNAcentral.
GACGAACGCUGGCGGCGUGCCUAAUACAUGCAAGUAGAACGCUGAAGAGAGGAGCUUGCUCUUCUUGGAUGAGUUGCGAACGGGUGAGUAACGCGUAGGUAACCUGCCUGGUAGCGGGGGAUAACUAUUGGAAACGAUAGCUAAUACCGCAUAAAAUUGAUUAUUGCAUGAUAAUUAAUUGAAAGAUGCAAUUGCAUCACUACCAGAUGGACCUGCGUUGUAUUAGCUAGUUGGUGAGGUAACGGCUCACCAAGGCGACGAUACAUAGCCGACCUGAGAGGGUGGUCGGCCACACUGGGACUGAGACACGGCCCAGACUCCUACGGGAGGCAGCAGUAGGGAAUCUUCGGCAAUGGGGGGAACCCUGACCGAGCAACGCCGCGUGAGUGAAGAAGGUUUUCGGAUCGUAAAGCUCUGUUGUAAGAGAAGAACGGGUGUGAGAGUGGAAAGUUCACACUGUGACGGUAUCUUACCAGAAAGGGACGGCUAACUACGUG